GCUGGGAGUGGUGGCACAUUCUGAGGUCCCAGCUACUUGGAGGCUGAGGGAAGAGGAUGGUUUGAGCCCAGGAGUGCUGGGCUAUAGUGCACUGUACCCACUGGUAUCUGCACUAAGUUUGGCAUCACUGUGGUGAUCUCCUGGGACCAAGGACCAACAGGUUGUCUGGAAAGCAGUGAAGUAGUUCAGUUUGGAAAUGGAGCAGGUUGAAACUCCCAUGAUGAUCAAUAGUGGGAUCACAUCUGUGAAUAGCCACUGUACCCCAACAUAGAAAGUCUUCCUCUCUU
Molecule: signal recognition particle RNA, 287 nt
Filed under: Otolemur garnettii (small-eared galago)
Lineage: Eukaryota; Metazoa; Chordata; Mammalia; Primates; Galagidae
Description: Metazoan signal recognition particle RNA
Rfam family: Metazoan signal recognition particle RNA
About the family: The signal recognition particle (SRP) is a universally conserved ribonucleoprotein. It is involved in the co-translational targeting of proteins to membranes. The eukaryotic SRP consists of a 300-nucleotide 7S RNA and six proteins: SRPs 72, 68, 54, 19, 14, and 9.
Source: Rfam by way of RNAcentral